Molecule: long non-coding RNA, 341 nt
Organism: Chrysoperla carnea
Lineage: Eukaryota; Metazoa; Arthropoda; Insecta; Neuroptera; Chrysopidae
Exons: 3
Source: RefSeq, a predicted model, not a curated record
CGUGAAAUAUCCAGUAAAAUCAAGUGGAGUGAAAAAUACGGGAUACAGUGGAACUUCUGCACCAACUCGACAAACUAGAGAAGUGCAUGGGAUUAGUAGAGAUGACGCAGAUAGAAUAAUAAGGAGCAUAGAGUCUUUUAAACCAAUUUCACGUAUCGAAGAGAUUUGUAAGCGGCGUUAUGUUUGUGAAUCGGAUGUUCGAGCAAGACACAGCGUGGCUGCAGCUUAUCAACUAUAUUUCUUUGGUCGUGAAGGAUUAGCAAAAUACCGAGAUCGAACACAACCUAAACCACGAACAUAUGAAGAAUGUGCUCAAUUAUACAAAGAAUGCAGUGAUCCAA